This 2825-nucleotide ribosomal RNA is filed under the name Klebsiella pneumoniae. RNAcentral's name for it is "bacterial LSU rRNA". It matches the Rfam family "Bacterial large subunit ribosomal RNA". The record is from RNAcentral. Lineage: Bacteria; Pseudomonadati; Pseudomonadota; Gammaproteobacteria; Enterobacterales; Enterobacteriaceae.
GGGUUGUGAGGUUAAGCGACUAAGCGUACACGGUGGAUGCCCUGGCAGUCAGAGGCGAUGAAGGACGUGCUAAUCUGCGAAAAGCGUCGGUAAGGUGAUAUGAACCGUUAUAACCGGCGAUGUCCGAAUGGGGAAACCCAGUGCAAUUCGUUGCACUAUCGUUAACUGAAUACAUAGGUUAACGAGGCGAACCGGGGGAACUGAAACAUCUAAGUACCCCGAGGAAAAGAAAUCAACCGAGAUUCCCCCAGUAGCGGCGAGCGAACGGGGAGCAGCCCAGAGUCUGAAUCAGCUUGUGUGUUAGUGGAACGGUCUGGAAAGUCCGACGGUACAGGGUGAUAGUCCCGUACACCAAAAUGCACAGGCUGUGAACUCGAAGAGUAGGGCGGGACACGUGGUAUCCUGUCUGAAUAUGGGGGGACCAUCCUCCAAGGCUAAAUACUCCUGACUGACCGAUAGUGAACCAGUACCGUGAGGGAAAGGCGAAAAGAACCCCGGCGAGGGGAGUGAAAAAGAACCUGAAACCGUGUACGUACAAGCAGUGGGAGCACCUUCGGGUGUGACUGCGUACCUUUUGUAUAAUGGGUCAGCGACUUAUAUUCUGUAGCAAGGUUAACCGUAUAGGGGAGCCGCAGGGAAACCGAGUCUUAACUGGGCGUUAAGUUGCAGGGUAUAGACCCGAAACCCGGUGAUCUAGCCAUGGGCAGGUUGAAGGUUGGGUAACACUAACUGGAGGACCGAACCGACUAAUGUUGAAAAAUUAGCGGAUGACUUGUGGCUGGGGGUGAAAGGCCAAUCAAACCGGGAGAUAGCUGGUUCUCCCCGAAAGCUAUUUAGGUAGCGCCUCGUGAAUUCAUCUUCGGGGGUAGAGCACUGUUUCGGCUAGGGGGUCAUCCCGACUUACCAACCCGAUGCAAACUACGAAUACCGAAGAAUGUUAUCACGGGAGACACACGGCGGGUGCUAACGUCCGUCGUGAAGAGGGAAACAACCCAGACCGCCAGCUAAGGUCCCAAAGUCAUGGUUAAGUGGGAAACGAUGUGGGAAGGCACAGACAGCCAGGAUGUUGGCUUAGAAGCAGCCAUCAUUUAAAGAAAGCGUAAUAGCUCACUGGUCGAGUCGGCCUGCGCGGAAGAUGUAACGGGGCUAAACCAUGCACCGAAGCUGCGGCAGCGACACUAUGUGUUGUUGGGUAGGGGAGCGUUCUGUAAGCCUGCGAAGGUGUGCUGUGAGGCAUGCUGGAGGUAUCAGAAGUGCGAAUGCUGACAUAAGUAACGAUAAAGCGGGUGAAAAGCCCGCUCGCCGGAAGACCAAGGGUUCCUGUCCAACGUUAAUCGGGGCAGGGUGAGUCGACCCCUAAGGCGAGGCCGAAAGGCGUAGUCGAUGGGAAACAGGUUAAUAUUCCUGUACUUGGUGUUACUGCGAAGGGGGGACGGAGAAGGCUAUGUUAGCCGGGCGACGGUUGUCCCGGUUUAAGCAUGUAGGCUGGUUAUCCAGGCAAAUCCGGAUAAUCAAGGCUGAGGUGUGAUGACGAGGCACUACGGUGCUGAAGUAACAAAUGCCCUGCUUCCAGGAAAAGCCUCUAAGCAUCAGGUAACAUCAAAUCGUACCCCAAACCGACACAGGUGGUCAGGUAGAGAAUACCAAGGCGCUUGAGAGAACUCGGGUGAAGGAACUAGGCAAAAUGGUGCCGUAACUUCGGGAGAAGGCACGCUGGUGUGUAGGUGAAGUCCCUGCGGAUGGAGCUGAGACCAGUCGAAGAUACCAGCUGGCUGCAACUGUUUAUUAAAAACACAGCACUGUGCAAACACGAAAGUGGACGUAUACGGUGUGACGCCUGCCCGGUGCCGGAAGGUUAAUUGAUGGGGUUAUCCGUAAGGAGAAGCUCUUGAUCGAAGCCCCGGUAAACGGCGGCCGUAACUAUAACGGUCCUAAGGUAGCGAAAUUCCUUGUCGGGUAAGUUCCGACCUGCACGAAUGGCGUAAUGAUGGCCAGGCUGUCUCCACCCGAGACUCAGUGAAAUUGAACUCGCUGUGAAGAUGCAGUGUACCCGCGGCAAGACGGAAAGACCCCGUGAACCUUUACUAUAGCUUGACACUGAACAUUGAGCCUUGAUGUGUAGGAUAGGUGGGAGGCUUUGAAGCGUGGACGCCAGUCUGCGUGGAGCCAACCUUGAAAUACCACCCUUUAAUGUUUGAUGUUCUAACGUUGGCCCCUUACCGGGGUUGCGGACAGUGUCUGGUGGGUAGUUUGACUGGGGCGGUCUCCUCCCAAAGCGUAACGGAGGAGCACGAAGGUUAGCUAAUCCUGGUCGGACAUCAGGAGGUUAGUGCAAUGGCAUAAGCUAGCUUGACUGCGAGCGUGACGGCGCGAGCAGGUGCGAAAGCAGGUCAUAGUGAUCCGGUGGUUCUGAAUGGAAGGGCCAUCGCUCAACGGAUAAAAGGUACUCCGGGGAUAACAGGCUGAUACCGCCCAAGAGUUCAUAUCGACGGCGGUGUUUGGCACCUCGAUGUCGGCUCAUCACAUCCUGGGGCUGAAGUAGGUCCCAAGGGUAUGGCUGUUCGCCAUUUAAAGUGGUACGCGAGCUGGGUUUAGAACGUCGUGAGACAGUUCGGUCCCUAUCUGCCGUGGGCGCUGGAGAAUUGAGGGGGGCUGCUCCUAGUACGAGAGGACCGGAGUGGACGCAUCACUGGUGUUCGGGUUGUCAUGCCAAUGGCACUGCCCGGUAGCUAAAUGCGGAAGAGAUAAGUGCUGAAAGCAUCUAAGCACGAAACUUGCCCCGAGAUGAGUUCUCCCUGAGACUUUAAGUCUCCUGAAGGAACGUU